This 289-nucleotide ribosomal RNA is filed under the name uncultured bacterium. RNAcentral describes it as "partial 16S ribosomal RNA". It matches the Rfam family "Bacterial small subunit ribosomal RNA", at positions 773 to 1060 of the family's 1533-position model. The record is from RNAcentral.
GUGGAUUAGAUACCCUGGUAGUCCACGCCCUAAACCAUGUCAACUGGGUGUUCGGGAAGCGAUUUCUGAGUACCGUAGCUAACGCGUGAAGUUGACCGCCUGGGGAGUACGGCCGCAAGGUUAAAACUCAAAGGAAUUGACGGGGACCCGCACAAGCGGUGGAUGAUGUGGAUUAAUUCGAUGCAACGCGAACAACCUUACCUACCCUUGACAUGUCCGAGAGCCUGCUGAGAGGCGGGUGUGCCCGAAAGGGAAUCGGAACACAGGUGCUGCACGGCCGUCGACAACU